UUCCAGACUCCUACGGGAGGCAGCAGUGGGGAAUAUUGGGCAAUGGGCGCAAGCCUGACCCAGCAACGCCGCGUGAAGGAAGAAGGCUUUCGGGUUGUAAACUUCUUUUCUCAGGGACGAAGAAAGUGACGGUACCUGAGGAAUAAGCCACGGCUAACUACGUGCCAGCAGCCGCGGUAAUACGUAGGUGGCAAGCGUUAUCCGGAUUUAUUGGGUGUAAAGGGCGUGUAGGCGGGAGCGGAAGUCAGAUGUGAAAACUCGGGGCUCAACCCUGAGCCUGCAUUUGAAACUGUGUUUCUUGAGUGCGGGAGAGGCAAUCGGAAUUCCGUGUGUAGCGGUGAAAUGCGUAGAUAUCAGGAGGAACACCGGUGGCGAAGGCGGCCUGCUGGACUGCAACUGACGUUGAGGCCCGAAAGCGUGGGGAGCAAACAGGAUUAGAUACCCCAGUA
Molecule: ribosomal RNA, 449 nt
Filed under: uncultured bacterium
Lineage: Bacteria
Description: bacterial SSU rRNA
Rfam family: Bacterial small subunit ribosomal RNA
Source: RNAcentral